RNAcentral lists this ribosomal RNA (484 nucleotides) under uncultured bacterium. RNAcentral describes it as "partial 16S ribosomal RNA". It matches the Rfam family "Bacterial small subunit ribosomal RNA", at positions 30 to 507 of the family's 1533-position model. The record is from RNAcentral.
AUUGAACGCUGGCGGCAUGCCCUACACAUGCAAGUCGAACGGCAGCGCGGGAGCAAUCCUGGCGGCGAGUGGCGAACGGGUGAGUAAUACAUCGGAACGUGCCCAAUCGUGGGGGAUAACGCAGCGAAAGCUGUGCUAAUACCGCAUACGAUCUACGGAUGAAAGCAGGGGAUCGCAAGACCUUGCGCGAAUGUAGCGGCCGAUGGCAGAUUAGGUAGUUGGUGAGGUAAAGGCUCACCAAGCCUUCGAUCUGUAGCUGGUCUGAGAGGACGACCAGCCACACUGGGACUGAGACACGGCCCAGACUCCUAAGGGAGGCAGCAGUGGGGAAUUUUGGACAAUGGGCGAAAGCCUGAUCCAGCCAUGCCGUGUGCAGGAUGAAGGCCUUCGGGUUGUAAACUGCUUUUGUACGGAACGAAACGGUCUUUUCUAAUAAAGAAGGCUAAUGACGGUACCGUAAGAAUAAGCACCGGCUAACUACGUG